GGCAAAACUUGUUUGUAAUGACCAGAAAUUUUCUGUAAAUAAGUUCUUGUCUACAUUUUUCCACAUUUUUCCAGGAUAAAUUAUCAGCAAGGCAUAGCUUUGCUCCCCAUCUAGCCCUUCCACUUUCUUGGCAAUAGUUAUCAAGGUCAGAAGGAGGACCAUAGUGUAUGACCUGUCUCAAACCUUUACAGUCAACGCCCAUGCCAAAAGCGAUUGUGGCAAUAAGUAAUCACUGACCCAUUAGAAUCUGCAAAUGACUUAGAAAUAUAUUCUUUUGCCGCAUCCUCUGUGUUUCCUUGGUAUUUUUUGUAUGGUUUGUUGUCUUGAAAAUGAUCUUUUAACUGACUAUCAAACAAUCUGUACAAUGAACGAGCAGUAUUCAGCCAUUAACAAACAAUGAUAGUUCUUUCUGUACUAUAUGUGUUGGCUUUCAAAUCUUCAAUAAGUGGUUUGAAUAUUUCUUCUAUGUUGUCAUGCUUCAAUGUUAUCAUAGAAUAAUGAAUGUGAGGUGACUGAAUUAUUUGUAGUGGGUUCCUCAAUUCAAGAUUUUUUAUUAUAGAAGCAGUGGUUGCCUUUGUAGCUGUAGCUGUCAUUGGAACAUACAGAAUUUUAUGAUCUACCAUCCAUAUAGAGCGUAUCUCAGCUAGUUGUCCGUACAUAUGACGAAAUCUUCUCAUAUUUUGACUUUGAGUCCCCCUGUACAAAAAAAUAAUGCUUGCUGAGAAGGGUUCAUUUUUCAUAUAAGACACGGAAUUAAAUGUUACAAGCGUUGUAAUUUUAUUACACUUGACAUAGAUUGUUCAAUGAAGUUACCCUAUUAAAGCCUUUUUAUAAGUAUCUUUGAUUUGAGUCAUAACUGAAAGCUUACAACAAUUAAUAUAAGAUGUCAGAAUUUCUUAUGAGAUUUUUAACCAGUUUUAUAACACCUAUGUAUUUACCACCAGCACAUUUCAUGCGGUUUCUGGCAAUUAAUAUGACACAGAAAGCAGGUGAAGUUUAUUUAAAUUAAUAAUAGCUUUAUUCACUUACAAGAAACUGUGUAUCUUUAGUUGAAUUCAAAAUUGAAAACCAUCUAUCGAAAUGUUCAUGAUUACAUAACAAAAUACGACACAUCCCAUUCCCAAGAGACACAAAAAAGGAGAGCAUUGAAGGUUCGACAAAUUAUAACCUCAAGUUCGUUUAGUACUGGUACUAUGAUAAAAAUAUCACCUACCAUUUAACUAUACAAUGACUUUAAUCGAUUACAACACAAGAUAAUCUUCUUUGAAAUUCAGGCGACUUUAAAACACUUCGAAAUUUGUUCGAUAGGAUAUUUUCUGUGGAUCCAAAUAAAAUUUCCAUUCAUGAUUUGUUUUUAGGUCACAUCUGAAUCGGAAAGGGAUAGGCUGCAAAUUUCUUUCUCUGUUAAUCUUCUUACUUGGUGCCGCAUUAAUGAAAUCAGGGGAGAGACUACCAGCACAAAAUGAUCAACGCUCUCGGUUUGUGUAGGCCGUUCCUUCAUCUGCUGUUCCUGAACGGCGAACGGGAGCACCUGGAAAAUGAGAGACUUUCCUGAUCCAGUAGGUGCUGAUACAAAUACAUCUUGCCCUUUCAGAACUGCAUUGCGCUGAAAAACCUCAAGAUUUUCAUGGUCAAGUCUGUUGCCGGUGUCAUAUGCGUUUUGGUACCCUAUGCAAAAGUGUAACAUUGUGAAACGCAAUGUGUUUCAAAUCAAGUGAUUUCACCGUAGUGCGAUAUUAUGACACAUUAUAAUUAACAAAUUGAACACAAUACUUUUUUGUUUAAAAUUUCAUACUUUUUAAUCAAGAAAACUUUGGAGUCGCCACUAAUGUGGUACUUUUUUGCAUAAACUUAACAAGGGAAAUCACAGCACCGUUUCUUGUUAGUACCCCCUUGUUAGAAAUAGUUCGAUUGUUCUUUACAUUCUGAACAUUAUGAAUCAGAACAUUUGUGUUCCCAGACCAGGUCGCAUGCUAAAUUCCACCAUUUGUUUUGGUACCCUAUUGUUUAAGUGCUCGGGUAGGAUUUUGCAUAACCAAAAUUGCCAUGCAUUUGUGUACCCGGACCGUUUUGCAUGCUAAAUUCCACCAUUUGUUUUGGUACCCUAUUGUUUAAGUGCUCGGGUACGAUUUUGCAUAACUAAAAUUGCCAUGCGUUUGUGUACCCGGACCGUUUUGCAUGCUAAAUUCCACCAUUUGUUUUGGUACCUAUUGUUUAAGUGCUCGGGUACGAUUUUGCAUAACCAAAAUUGCCAUGUAUUUGUGUACCCGGACCGUUUUGCAUGUUAAAUUCCACCAUUCGUUUUGGUACCCUAUUGUUUAAGUGCUCGGGUACGAUUUUGCAUAACCAAAAUUGCCAUGCGUUUGAGUACCCGGACCGAAAUGCAUAAGGUUACCGAAACGCAUAUGACACCGGCAACUGAGAUGAAAUCAUUACACGCCGCCAUUGUAGAAUUUCCUGUCUCAACAAACAAGUUUUACUUCUGACCUCCCCCGUCUCUCGUAACAGCUCUCGUAACAGCGUGAGGGCAUCUUGGAUACAUCAAUUAAAAGCUUGCAACAAGAUGAGUCAAAAUAUGUAAUUUGCGUCAAAAAUAACAAUCCAGUAAAGAGCUAGCGAUGAAUUUGUCUGAAUUUUACCCUUAAAUGACGUCAUCAGUCAUGUGACUCCCUACUACAAGAAUCUGUUGAGAAAGCAAACAUUAGCUUGAAUGUUAGAUUGUCAGGCUACAUGUCCUGUUUAUAGCCAAGCCAGCCGCAAAACGUCAUUAUAUAAUCUUCUGCCAUGGAUGGUAACAUUAUUUGUCUCUGCCUUCCUUUCGCUUUCUUGCCUUGAAUUUUUUCUGUCAUUACAAUUUGUUCCAGCUCUUCUUUCCGUAUCACAUGACCAAUAAAUUUGUCUUGUCUUUCUCUGAUGUCUUUCCACAAAGAUCUUGUGUUUUUGUUAUCUAGAAUAUUUCCUCAUAGCUGACAUGUCUUGUCCAAAAGUUUCUUAACAUUUGUCUAAGAAGCCAUAUUUCUGAAGCUUUUAUUCGCUUCCUCAUCGUAAAAGAGACUGUCCAGCACUUGGAACCAUUCGAUUCAUUCUUAUUCUUACUUUGAUAUCUAUUUACAUUUGAUGUCAAUUUACUUUUGAUAUCAAAUUGACAUUUUGAUAUCAUUUUAAAAUCCUUACAUACGGUAACUUCUCUAUAACUAAAUUCGAGCAAAAUGAAGCAAAAUAUAUUGAGCAAAAUGAAGAAUUACUUGAAGAAGUAAAGCAAAUAUACACACCUUUAGGCAAUGAUUCUAUCGUUAUAAAAAAUUUGAUAAAAAAUAUGACAGAAUUUGUAGAUACUGUUGCCACUGAUAUGAACAUUCAACGGGAAGCUAUUCUAUCGGUUAAUUCUGACUUUUAUUUAAGCUUUCAACUUGACGAUUUUGUAUUCAUUUAUAAUUUCUCAUUUAUUAAGCAUGUAUUUAGCUCAACAAGAUACUUUAAGGAAUAUUCCUAACAGCGUAAAAUUUGGUGUAAUAUUUGGGAAUAAGACAUCUGCAUUAGUGUAUGAACGUUUUAAGUAUGACAUAGAGGAAUAUACUAAGGAAAUUAGAGAAUUAUGACGGAGAAAGGAAAAAAUCAAGAAGGAGAAAAUAAUUGAGACUGCAUUUUUAUGAACAUUUGAAAAUAUUUUUUAAAGUUACUUGUUAGUUUUAUAAAUAUUUGAGAUUAUGUAAUUUUUUCGAUUUGAAAAAAAAAUUUAUUCUGGAAAUCUUCUAAUAAACUCUUGUCUGUUUUGAAAACUUCAUGAUCUAAAAAUGUUUCCAAAGGUGUGCUUAAUAUAUUCAUUAUCGUUUCUUUCACUGACUUAUCCUUCAUUUACACCAAACUUUUCAUAAUGAUUUCCAAAGCAGUAAAACCACAAUUAUUAAUUUUACUUUCAUCUGAAAUAUCUGCAUAACUAUGCAGCAACGCCAAAGAUCUAACAUGAGCUUUCAUUAUUGCUAUAUGUAACACUGUAUCACCUUUAUCACUAAUAAAUGGCGCAUUGUUCUCGUUUUACUCAAUCUUGUCGCAAUCAUUAAUGGUUUCACCACUUGUAUUUAUAGAACUGACAUUUGCACCAUUAUCUAUCAUAAAACCUAAUAAUUAUACAUGUUUUAUCAAAGUUCGAACAUCAACUUCAUUUAGAUAAAUAUUAUUCUAUGCAAAGCAGUAUUUUGAUAUAAAUCUUGUUUAUGUAAGACUUCUACAUUUUUCUCAAUAAAAGUCUUAAUUUCUUCCCCAUAAAUAUAUUUUGUUAUUGGUGUUACCAAACAUAAUAUUUCAGGCAAUUGCUCUCUUUGCUUUUAUAAUAAUGGAUGUAUCUGUUCAGUUAAUGUUUGAUUGUUCGAUUGAUUGGCAUCCUCUACCAAAUUUCAAAAAAGAGAUGAGGAGACAUGGCCACCAAAAAAAGGCCCAUCCCCACAAAAUAUCAUGGUACAGAGAAUGAGCUCCGAGCCAAACAGGUCCAAGAAAUACGAGGCACUUGACAGGCGCCAUUUUGUUGACUUUACAAAAUAUGAUGAGCUGUCGAUUGAUAAUGUGAAGGAUGCCUGCCAAAAGUUCUAUGAAAUGCCUGGAGGGUCCUGUGUUGUAGCAGGAAAGAAGUUUUAUCUUGCAACAUUUCUUCCAAAACUUUGCUAUGGCUGUCGAUACCAGAGCAAAAAGGGUUCAUAGCUUUGGAAGAGAUGUUGCAUUAGAUAGCCAAAUAAGUUGUUCACCAAGUUGGGAACAUAGUAUUUCUACCUUGUCCCACUCUAGAAGUGUGCCACACAGAUCAACAAUGCAGCCUGAAGGAAAGGUAAGCCAUCUGGCACCAGUCCCUUCUUCAGCAUUUCCAAAAUCAGGAUCAAUAGCAGACCUUCUAGAUGCAAGAAAAUUUAUCCAGCCACCCAGUGUCACACGAAUGAAACUAGAUCUGAGUGCUUAUGAUGUUGCUGAAACGAUGUGGAAUCCAUCUGGCUCUAUUGCGGUCUGUAAGGAAGACUCACCUUUCCUGAGGGGGAAUUCAGACAUGCAUUUCUUGCCACUUCGGUGAAUUGUGGAGCCAAGAAAAAGUGGGUCAUCAAAGUCACCAAAGAGGAACAUCUAGCAAAAGUAUCAGAAGCUUUCAAUAUCACCAUUGCACAACACACACAAAAGCAAGACUAGAUGCAUGCUGUUGCAAGGAGUAUUACCACAAGUUUCAAUAAAAAGAUUUCUGUAGGAUUUGGUUCAUUUUUUAAAUAUUAGAAGAGUUACUUCUCCACCAUUGAAGGCAACCCUGUCACUGUUGAGGAAUUCAUACCUGGUAAAUUCCAGAAGUAUAUAAACAACACAGGUCAGAUCAGAAAACCAGAGUUAGCUGAAGAUCGAAUCCUUAUAGAAAAGGCAGAAUGUUUGGUGCAUUACACGUAUGUGCACACAAAGAAGGAAUUGAUGGUUUUAGACCUUCAGGGUGUGGAUUAUGUCCUUUGUGACCCAGAGAUCGCCACUGCUACCCUUCAUGAGGAUGGAGAAUUAAUCUUCUGUGCUGGAAAUCUGGUUUUCAAGGCAAUAAGUACCUUUUUUGCUGAACAUUCAUCCAACAAUUACUGCAGGAUGUUAAAUUUGACACAAGAACAAUGGAUUGGAACAUGAUGACUGCAACAUUCAUUUUGAGCAAAACAUUUAGUUUAGUUUGAAACAAAAUUGAUGUUGUUAUAUGAAGCUUUUACCUUUUUCAAUUACAUUUUUUGCCAAUUUUUGGGGAAUAUUUUUCCGCCUCAUAUCCUUUCCUGAUUAAUCCAUAUGGAGUACCCCCCUCACUUGCCUCCUGAUUUUAGCUAUUGAAAGGAGUUUUACUGGAAGUAAACUUAGUCACAGAUGCAUGUUUUAUGAUGCCUUGUUUUUUUGUAAUUAACUACAUGGUAAACAUCUUAUUAGCUUUUUUGUCAGCAAAUUAUUAUAUCUUGCUUUGCUUCGUAACAAAAGGCUGUCCAUCCAAACAAGCAGACUAUUAUUUUUUUAAUAUGCACAAUAAUAAUAAAUUUCUACGACCACUCAAUCAAAACUUGCAUACUGUGUGUAUAAGAAACACUCUUUUGUAUAAUAGCUAGUAGAUCCAUUCAAUCUUUUCUAUCCUGCACAGGUAUUGCAGGCAAAGGAAGACAGAUAAUUUAAUGUUGUGAAACUUCAUUCAGAACAAUACCAUUUAAGAAGGUUAUCAAAAAAGUAAUUUGGUAACCCCUAAAACCAUACAUAAAGAAGUUUGCACACCACAAAACACAGUACAUGUUGUUUAUUGCCUCCCCAUAGAUUUUAUCUGUCAGAAAAUGUUUCAAUAGGUCUUUAUCAUAACAGUGAUAGCACAAGCAGUUCUACAGACAGAAGAUCUGUAAAAGCAUGAGUUCGCCGGUGUGUAAUUGCUCUUUGUCUAUAAAAUUUAGAAAGUAACUUUCUUAGGGGUCAUUCAAUUAGUAUGUAAGCACAAAGGGGGAGGAGAUCAAGCAAAACCGUUUGAUUGUAUACAAGGGAGAAGGGGGAUUGGCACAUUUAAAUAAUUCAGUUGAAGGUUUUCUAGUAUGUUUUUAAUUUGUUUGAUUUAUCAACUUUUAUCGACUUUUUAAUAAAAUGCUGUGUGUAUAGCUGUUUCCUGUAGUGAUAUAAAAAUGUAUUUCUUGAUGGUUUCGAAUGUGUUGAAACAUUCCAUUAGAAAUGGGAGGAGGGGGGGGGGGGUCAAAUAACUGAGAGUACAUAAGCUUGGUGCCUUAUUCUAUGGGCUUUCCAUAAGUUGGCAAAGACGUUGCAUUCUCUUUGCAAGACUGGAAUGAACAAAUACGACAUAAGCUUCCUAUCCCUAAAACUUUGAAGAACAUAAGCUCUUGAAUUUAGUAAUAAAGCCAGUGAGGUUUUGAUAUCUUUCUCCAUUCUCUCAUGAAGGUGUAGUGAUUUAAAUAUUGUAAAACAGGCCAUAUUUGCACUCAUUCAUCGAUCAUGCCAGCACCACGAUAUCCCCUUACGUCAUUCACGGCAUCGCAUACCGUAGGACAUUCCCUUCACCAUUGUACACACGUUCACAGAUCUAUGUCAUGCUGAUUUCUUCCCAAGUCUAGAUCUUUCCUUCUCCAUUGCAUCAUCAUUACAUCAUCACAACACAUCAUUACGCAGCACAUUUAUUUUGUAUAUAGGUAUGUUAAUUUGUAUGUAAGUCAGUCAGUCAAGUUCAGUUCAGAUCAGAGUUAUACAGCAAUACACUGUCUCUCUCACUGGCUCCGUGUUCUCUGUACGUUAAAUAAGAUUCGUCGAAGUAACACCAACGAUGGAAAGUCAUAGGAUAUGAUAGGAACCAUUGAAUUCUUGCCACAUAAUAGCGUUCCUAUAAUGGUGACCACGACGUGACACGCAAACCCAUUGUUGGUCAAUUCUACUUCAAAUACAACAUCAACUCUUCGAUGGUAUCAGACACAUCAAGUUUUUCAUCAACAAGGAUUCGUCAACAUCAACUCAGCUUCACACACACAACGCAACUCAUUUGGAUUCAUCGACAACCAUCAGCACUCGACUCACAGUAGUGCCCUCAAACACAUCACCGCACUCGACUCACCGUAGUGCUCUUCAACACAAGCAACAAACGCACUCGACUCACCGUAGUGCCCUCAACGCAUCGCAGCACUCGACUCACCGCAGUGCCUCCACGCAACAUCAACGCUCAAAAACUCCUCAACAAGCUGGUUCCUGGUCAUCCAACGUAAAAACCUUGCACAAGUCUCCGAAUUCACGAACAGAAGAAAACACUGGCUAUGUCUCGAACUCUCAUCGAUUUACAACGGUUGGACAUUUAAAUUUCGAACACUUAAAUUUUUUAUCGCAUUUCACUAUAUUUAAUUCAUCUCUUUACAAUAUUCAAAUUUAUUCCUAGUACUUUUCCCCUUUCGUAUCGAAUGCUUCACAACCGCUUGCAUUCUAAGGGGGGAGCUAUUGUAGUGAUUUAAAUAUUGUAAAACAGGCCAUAUUUGCACUCAUUCAUCGAUCAUGCCAGCACCAUGAUAUCCCCUUACGUCAUUCACGGCAUCGCAUACCGUAGGACAUUCCCUUCACCAUUGUACACACGUUCACACAUCUAUGUCAUGCUGAUUUCUUCCCAAGUCUAGAUCUUUCCUUCUCCAUUGCAUCAUCAUUACAUCAUCACAACACAUCAUUACGCAGCACAUUUAUUUUGUAUAUAGGUAUGUUAAUUUGUAUGUAAGUCAGUCAGUCAAGUUCAGUUCAGAUCAGAGUUAUACAGCAAUACACUGUCUCUCUCACUGGCUCCGUGUUCUCUGUACGUUAAAUAAGAUUCGUCGAAGUAACACCAACGAUGGAAAGUCAUAGGAUAUGAUGGGAACCAUUGAAUUCUUGCUAAAUAAUAGCGUUCCUAUAAAGGUCCCUCCACCACCUUUGAAUCUUGUUGGAGGUAGACGGUCCAAAUACAACAGAAUCAGCAGGUUCAUUCAAAUCCGCUUGCUUGUUACGCAAAUAAACAUGAAUUAUGUCCAUUGUGCCAGUUUCAGUACCUUUAUCCAGCCCAAGGUAAUUUGGCAUCAUCUCAGUUUCAACCAAAUGCUGCAUGUAGUAGUGACCAAUCACAACUGGAUCAGAAUUUCCUUUUUCAUAAAUGAAGGAAUAUGAUUUUACGUGAGAAGGUGUCAAGGCAGCCAUAAAUAGCCAAGGGGAAUGUGGAAUUUUGACACCCCAUCAUCUUGUCAUGGCCAUCAAGUGAAAAGACGAUCUAACUUGAUGUUAGAUCCAUCAGAAACAAAUGGCUGUUUAGGUUUCUUUGUUUUUUUCUUCAUACUAUUUCUCUUAUCCAACGCUUGCGGGUUGAUAUCCCACAUAACAUCAUGAAAUAGAGCCCCCUUGCAAGAUUUUUUUAGAAAUCAGCCGUGUUCAAAAAAUGAAUUUUUAUUCUAACAGUUUUACAGUUUAACGUUUCAAGCAAAACAAUUCCAAUGGCAAACAAUUUGCAACUCCUUAUUCUAAAACUAUCACAAGAAUCAAUAUGUAGACCUUUCACUGAAAAAUCACAAGAUUUCAAAACCCUUGCAAUAUUUUUCAAAGUUGAAUUUAAUUUUUUGAAAAUUCACCUUGUUAUAACACGUCAUCAAUUUGAGAAACAUGCGGGUAGUUCCUGCUAUCAAAAUUCAUCAGCAUUUGUAUCUCCUAAAUUUAAAAUUGCAACGGACUGGAAGAGAUGGGCGUUAAGAAUUGUUUGAAAUCUGAAUUCUUAUGUCACAAGGACAAGUAUAACCCAAAAAUUCACCUUCAAACGCAGUAUGUUAAUCAUGAUUAAAAAAAUUGGCAAAGCCGGAUUCCAACACUCACAAAAACACAGUAAAUAUUUCUUAUUUGCUUUUGAGUAGCUUUUGUUCCCUUAAUGUACAUUUAUUACGAUUCCGUUUGGGCGCCCCACAAUACUUAGAUGCCUGUGCUUCAGCAGAGAUGCUCAGGACAUAGUACAGUCGCGAAAAAGGUCAUUAUGUAUCAGUUUAAAAGCUUUUCCGGCUACGUGGAGCAUUUUUACAUGAACAGUUGAAUGCUAUUGAGAGUUUUUGUCUUGAAAGAGGAAAUUCUCUCAUUUUUUGUGUUGAUCUAAGCUCUAGUAAAGACUGCAUGCGUUGUUCGUCACAUUUUUUCAAACCUAAGCUGAGUCUAAUGUGAUAUUCAGAUUUAAAACAAUUGAAAUAUGCAAAAUUAAAAAAUUAAAAAACCUUGGUGUAGUUUGAUGUAGAUUAUUUUCCAUACCUAGAACCAAACGACGUGGGAUUUAUAUGAGCAACGCGCGGCGUUCGACCUGAUUCAAAGACAUACCAGUGGAGCCUGCCAGUCCUGAAAAUGAACACUAGAAAAAAGGGAAAAUACAUAAUUAUUUGGGUCAGGUGGGUGUAUAAAUCCCACGACGUUUGGUUCUAGGUAUGGAAAAUAAUUUACAUCAAACUACAGCUAGGUUUGUUUAAUUUUUUAAUUAUUUUCCAUAACUAGAACCCAAACUCCUUUCGGUAUUUAUACGAGACUUCAAAGAGACUGGCAAUGUGUUUAUCAAGAAGACUUGAACUGAGAAAUGAUCGAUUGUACGCACACAAAAAAUCAAUAUCAACAAUCAAAAUUGGCUUGUAGCAGUAACUUUGGUACUGCUGUGUAUUAAAUACAGGACAAAUAGCCUUGCUAUCAGGGAAUGCACGGAAAUCAAGAGGUGACUGAUGAAAACCAGGUCUAGUUGUUUUGAGAACUUGAUCAAUAUUACAAACAACUCUGUCAUCAGAAACAUCCAUAAGUCUGAUGUCAAUAGCAGCAAAUGUUUGGUCUCUCUGUCCUGAUAGAAGACAAAACAAUGUUACAAGACGAAAGGCGGAAAAAUGUGAGCGGCCCGCUCGGAAAAUAAGCGGUUUUUCCUCCUGAUGGAAAUUGCUUGGCGGAAAAUAAGGGACGGAGCGUGGGAGAGACGAGACAAGAUGGCCACCGUAAGUUCAGAAAUGAAAAUAAAGCUUCUGUUGUUGGUUCUGCUGCGGAGAAGAUUAAGAAGAAAUGAAGAAAAAUACAAGAAAAAAAUGUGGGUCAGAAAAAUUUACCAAGACUGUCACUUAAGGGUGAAUUUCACUUGUUAGUGAACGAGUUAAGAUUAUUUGAUCAUGAGCUUUUCUUUGCUUGUUUUCACAUGUCACCAUCUACCUUUGAAAAACUAUUAUCUUGGGUUGCUCCACACAUAAUAAGACAGACAACAAGGUUUCGUGAGCCAGUACAUCCAAAUGAGCGCCUUGCUGUGACUUUACGGUACUUAGCUACGGGUGAUGCCAAGUCAACAAUAGCCUUAAGCUAUCGAAUUAGCCCUACUACAGUUGGAAGGAUUGUUGAAGAGACUUGUAAAGUAGUGUGGAUGGUGCUUCUGGAAAGGAAUUUUCUAUCAGUUCCAAAUAGUCAAGCUGCAUGGAAAACAAUUGCCAAAGCUUUCAAUGAAAAAUGGAAUUUUCCACAUUGCUUAGGGGCAAUAGAUGGGAAGCAUGUUGCAAUGCAAGCCCCUUCACGAAGUGUUUUACAAUUACAAAAGAACACAUAGCAUCGUUCUUUUGGCGACCUGUGAUGCUAGUUAUAAGUUUGUCUUGGUUGAUGUAGGUGAUGCUGGGAGACAAAGCGAUGGUGGGGUGUACACAAACAGCAAACUUGGCUUUGCAAUUGAAAAUCAAAAAUUGAAUCUCCCCCCACCGGAAGUGAUACAUGGAACUCAAAAAGUGUUCCCAUUUCUAUUUGUUGCUGAUGAAGCAUUUUCAUUGAAGCAGCAUAUGAUAAAGCCAUACCCUUGCCAUAGCCUUGAUGAACAUAAGCGUGUUUUCAAUUACAGGCUAUCAAGAGCAAGGCGAGUCAUAGAAAAUACCUUUGGAAUCGCGGCUGCAAGAUUUAGGAUUUUUCGUCAACCUGUAAUUGGAAAGGUUGACACUGUCAUUGCUAUAACGAAAGCCAUUGUGGCUUUGCACAAUUUUUGAUGUCAUUGGAUGAGACUGACAGAUGCAUAUACUGUCCUUCAAAUUUUGUAGAUAGGGAUCAAGACGUUGGAAUGUGGAGAGAAGAGGCCCAGUCUUGUGAAGGCUUAAUAGAGAUCCAAAGUCAAGGUUCCAAUAACUAUUCAAAGGAAGCUAAAAUAGUUAGAGAUGACUUCAAAGAUUAUUUUUGCAAAGAGGGCACCCUUAGUUGGCAAUGGCAAACAGUCAGAUCAACUGCUAAGAGAUUUGAUGAAGAAUAAACUGGAUAAUCUCCAACAUUUUAUUGAAAUAUCUUCAAAAUAACCAUAAAUAUGCUAUCAGACUCUCUUGUUUAGAGUAAAUUCCCCCUCUUCAUAUAAGUGACACAAAAACCAGCUCCCUCCAUUUAUUACUUGAACAAUUCCUAAGAAGAACAUUACUAUU
Molecule: non-coding RNA, 11912 nt
Organism: Rhopilema esculentum
Lineage: Eukaryota; Metazoa; Cnidaria; Scyphozoa; Rhizostomeae; Rhizostomatidae
Source: RefSeq, a predicted model, not a curated record